Molecule: microRNA precursor, 81 nt
Filed under: Microtus ochrogaster (prairie vole)
Lineage: Eukaryota; Metazoa; Chordata; Mammalia; Rodentia; Cricetidae
Description: miRNA (ENSMOCG00000007258.1)
Source: RNAcentral
CAUUUGUGACAUCAGUGUGUGCUCACAGGGUACACCUGUGCAACAUAUGUGUAUACACAUGCACACACACACACACACACA